CUCUAAAGAAACUCCAAAAAGACGGUUAGGGUUCGAGAAAACUAGAAACUUGAUUUCGUAGUAUAGAAGAAUCUUUAAAGCUCAGGAGGGAUAGCGCCGUGAGGAUCUAUAUAUUUUACAUCAUUAGUGGCGCUAUCUAUCCUGAGUUUCAUGGGUUGUUCUUGCUUUUCUCUGGUUGUACUGCAGAUACAAUUACAAAUUGAGGAGGAAUCUUUACAAGUUGGGUAUGUUUAAUUUGUUCAUCAAAAUACUCCUUUUUUUUUUUUUUCUUUCUUUAUGGAAAUAUCAAAGGACUUCUUGAGUUAAACUUUUGACAUGUUUUGCAAUAAUUAUAGAUAAAUUAAUAACCCUGUUGAUUUCUAUAGCUCAGACAAAAUCAUGACCUUUUUCACGAAACAAGAACAAGCUACAUCAUCCUGAUCAGACACAAAUUAUGGCCCUCUUCACUUUUUAUCUAAAUUUCUUCUAAGAUCACAAAAUUCGAGGAAAAAUAUAAAUAUAGAAAGGGUUUUGUAUGACAACCAGGCUACUGAUCUGUGAUCUGUGAUAUAAUUAACCAUGGUAACGAUGCACACGAAGAGGGAGAGAGAUACACACUCAUUUUGGUAUGCCUUUUCAAUGAACAAGGUUGUUUAACCACUGCCCCGUCCUUCCAUCAAGAAGUCGAUGACCAUUCAUAGGUAUUACCUUGACACCAGAGAAGAGUUCGACUCACUGCUUUGUUUCUGUCCCAGUUGAUCCUGAUUCAAUAUUAAAAGCAGGGGUGGACCUACUUGAGGCCAGCAGGAGCGGCCGCCCACACUCAAUUUUCAGAUUUUCAUUUUUCUCUAAGUUUUUUUAGGUUUUUAGAUUUUUUUCCUAAGGUUUUUUGAUUUCGUCCCUGAGGUUUUUUGGCUUCGCCCCCAUUGAACUUACUUCCUGGUUUCGCCCUUGAUUAAAAGUAUAGUGAUAUUCCCCAAUAACCGAAUAAGUAAAUACUGCAUGAACUUAACUCUCCCUGUGUGUGUAAUGGGGAGAUGGUUUGGUUAAGAUCAUGGGAUUUCUGCUGCUGAUGAAAAGGGCAUGAAGGAAUUUGAUCUAAAGAUGAAAUUUAUGAUCCUUCUUUUACUAGCUUACUUCUCAAUUAUGUGGGACACUAAAUUUAAUUAUAAUAUGGCCAAUCUUAUAAACCAGAUUAUUUUCCUGCAGGAUCCUUGAUUUCACAGCUUAACCAAGGCCUGUCCAAGAUCAUAUUAUUCGUAUUUAUUAAAAACUAUAAAAUAAAUACGACUGAGACAAAAAUACUUAGACGAAUAGAAGAAUUUGAAUAACUUUUCUCUAUCUUGUGUAAACAAACACAAGUUUAUCUCGAAAUCAAGACCGUGAUAUGAUUAUUCUUCUUCUUGUAUGUACCUCUCUAGCUGAUAUCUUUGUUCAUGAAUUGUGGUUCAUAUUUUCAAAAUCUCAGAACUGCAAUUGAAUUUAUUUUUCACUUUUUCUUUACACAGAAUUAAUUCUGAGAUCUGGGGAAUAUGCAGUAUGAAAAUUAAGUUUGUGGGUAGAGUGGAUAGCCAUUAAUGCAGUCUGAGACUGAAGCAUUCUCCAGAAAAAUGCCUUUAAGAUAUCAGUUAUGGGCUCUAGGGUUUUUAUGCUUCUGACAUAAAAUUUAGUUGCAGCUUUUUAAUAAUGGGCAUGAAUAACUGUGGAUGUUGACUCCUUUUCCAACUUCUAUUAGGUCACAUCUGGUUACCUUUCUUUGACUAUAUUCAUUACUUCAUCAAUCUUUUCCAACUAAUUGUUUUUAAUUCUCUUAAUGUCGUAUUAAUUAACUUAAUCUUACAUUAUUCCCUUCAUGCAGAUAUAUUUUAAUCUGAGAACCCUACGCAGGAAGAAGUUGAUGGCAAAAAUUGACUAAUUAGAAAGUCUCAAAAGAUAUUUUAAUAACACAUGCUUAUCCAUCUCAGCACAGAUAUUGGAACAAGGGACCAAUGGUUUUGAAAUACCAUUCCACGUGUAGGGCUAUGAUUUGAGGCAGCAUACAUUUUUAUAUUAGCAGAUUGCAAAUCUUGAGAAAUUUGACGUCACUUUAGGGUACAUGAGAUGUCUUGCUAUAUGGAGACAAAGAAACCAGGUUAUCUUCAAUCUUCUGAUACUGUUGUUAAUGUAAUGAAGAUCCCUCUAAUCUUUAGAUAGUGCACAAUAUGCUCGUACAGAAGCACCCACCAAAAAACUCUUAGUUGGGACACUUUAAAUCUCAGUUUUUUUAGAAAUAAAUUAUUUCUCUUGUAAAUGUUCAUAUACUUGUAUAUAGAGUUCUACGUAUGCAUUCAAUGCCCCCCGCCUGAUCGAGUGCCA
RNAcentral lists this long non-coding RNA (2334 nucleotides) under Olea europaea subsp. europaea. The stretch from base 64 to 163 matches the Rfam family "MIR390 microRNA precursor family". The record is from RNAcentral. Lineage: Eukaryota; Viridiplantae; Streptophyta; Magnoliopsida; Lamiales; Oleaceae.